This 119-nucleotide ribosomal RNA is filed under the name Aegilops tauschii subsp. strangulata. Lineage: Eukaryota; Viridiplantae; Streptophyta; Magnoliopsida; Poales; Poaceae. The record is from RNAcentral.
GGAUGCGAUCAUACCAGCACUAAAGCACCGGAUCCCAUCAGAACUUUGAAGUUAAGCGUGCUUGGGCGAGAGUAGUACUAGGAUGGGUGACCUUCUAGGAAGUCCUCAUGUUGUAUUCC